Molecule: ribosomal RNA, 253 nt
Filed under: uncultured bacterium
Lineage: Bacteria
Description: partial 16S ribosomal RNA
Rfam family: Bacterial small subunit ribosomal RNA
Source: RNAcentral
GACGUAGGGGGCCAGCGUUGCUCGGAAUUACUGGGCGUAAAGGGUCCGUAGGCGGUGCGGCAAGUCGGGAGUGAAAUCUCUGGGCUUAACUCAGAGGCUGCUUCCGAAACUGCCGUGCUCGAGGAUGAGAGAGGCGAGUGGAAUUGCGGGAGUAGCGGUGAAAUGCGUAGAUAUCCGCAGGAACAUCCGAGGCGAAAGCGGCUCGCUGGAUCAUUUCUGACGCUGAGGGACGAAAGCUAGGGGAGCAAACAGG